RNAcentral lists this ribosomal RNA (600 nucleotides) under Lactiplantibacillus plantarum. RNAcentral's name for it is "bacterial SSU rRNA". It matches the Rfam family "Bacterial small subunit ribosomal RNA", at positions 34 to 600 of the family's 1533-position model. The record is from RNAcentral. Lineage: Bacteria; Bacillati; Bacillota; Bacilli; Lactobacillales; Lactobacillaceae.
CGCUGGCGGCGUGCCUAAUACAUGCAAGUCGAACGAACUCUGGUAUUGAUUGGUGCUUGCAUCAUGAUUUACAUUUGAGUGAGUGGCGAACUGGUGAGUAACACGUGGGAAACCUGCCCAGAAGCGGGGGAUAACACCUGGAAACAGAUGCUAAUACCGCAUAACAACUUGGACCGCAUGGUCCGAGUUUGAAAGAUGGCUUCGGCUAUCACUUUUGGAUGGUCCCGCGGCGUAUUAGCUAGAUGGUGGGGUAACGGCUCACCAUGGCAAUGAUACGUAGCCGACCUGAGAGGGUAAUCGGCCACAUUGGGACUGAGACACGGCCCAAACUCCUACGGGAGGCAGCAGUAGGGAAUCUUCCACAAUGGACGAAAGUCUGAUGGAGCAACGCCGCGUGAGUGAAGAAGGGUUUCGGCUCGUAAAACUCUGUUGUUAAAGAAGAACAUAUCUGAGAGUAACUGUUCAGGUAUUGACGGUAUUUAACCAGAAAGCCACGGCUAACUACGUGCCAGCAGCCGCGGUAAUACGUAGGUGGCAAGCGUUGUCCGGAUUUAUUGGGCGUAAAGCGAGCGCAGCGGUUUUUUAAGUCUGAUGUUAAAG